UACAUUUAACCCCCCUAUCUUUAGAAUUUGGAUCUAA
RNAcentral lists this small RNA (37 nucleotides) under Romboutsia ilealis. RNAcentral describes it as "CRISPR spacer". Lineage: Bacteria; Bacillati; Bacillota; Clostridia; Peptostreptococcales; Peptostreptococcaceae. The record is from RNAcentral.